RNAcentral lists this long non-coding RNA (20153 nucleotides) under Cucumis sativus (cucumber). RNAcentral describes it as "long non-coding RNA (CSAT_LNC000004)". Lineage: Eukaryota; Viridiplantae; Streptophyta; Magnoliopsida; Cucurbitales; Cucurbitaceae. The record is from RNAcentral.
GUUCAUUCCUUAUAAAUGAGAGCGAAAGCUAGGCGCAAAGAAUUUGAGAAGGAGGUGCAAAGAAUAUUGCGAGGAGCGAAAGCCGCUCGACUGUAAGGAGAGGAGCGGUGUGAGGAAGGAAAGAAAGGUAUACAUUACAAGAAGAGGAAGGAAAGAAAGGUAUACAUUACAAGAAGAGGAAGGAAAGAAAGGUAUACAUUACAAGAAGAGGAAGGAAAGAAAGUCAAAGUCUGUGUUAGGAAAGAGAAAAGGUUUUCUACCUUGUUCAUUGACUCCUUUCUCUCAACAAUAUCCCCCACGGAGCGGUGCCGCAAAUUCUUUGCUUUUUCUACUUAGAAAACUUCGUUCUCAUUUGCGUGUAAGACAUGCAUUCGGUAAGUGGUCAUCAAUGAACAAGGAAAGAACCCAAGAAACUUCCCACCAAGAAGAGAGGCAUCGGAUCGCGAGAAGGCUAGGCGUAAUUGAGUCGAGUGAGUUUAUUCACGAGAAGGGAAAGGCCUAAAGCGCCUUCAAAAGAAGUGAAAAAGAAGAAAUCUCGGGUGGGUGUGAGGCAAGCCACUUGAUCGGCAGUUUCAGCCUAAAUUCAUUCUAAGCCGGAAAUGUCCCGCUAAGCCGGAAAUGUCCCGAAAUCAAAUGCAAGAAAAGAGUGAGAACAUUCUUUCUAGUAAAAGAAGGGUCGAGGGUGCGGAACCCAGCAGGAGAGAAAGGAGGCUAUCUCUCCAUCUCUUAUCUAAUAGAAUCCACCCCAACAGGGAGGAGUGCUAGGCAAGUUCAAGUCCAAUCUUCUUUCCAAGACUAUUCACGCAAUACGCUUUUGAAUCAAGAGCUCGGGCAGGGGCUCAGUCCCACCCCUACCGAAAGGUGGGCAUCGCCUGGUGGCCGGGAUAUACUGAAUGGGAGGCGGCUAGGCGGAUGCCCGCAUCUCUGCCGAAACCCACGGAUGAAAUCUUCUUUGAACCUUGUCUCGAAGAGAAAGGAGAGGUGUGAAGGAGCAGAGAGACACAUUCAGUUCGGACCCUCUGAAUAGAAGAAGAAUGCACUAUAAGAGUUCUCAAAAUCAAGGUGCAAAGAUCUAUGGCCCACUCCGCGGGAUAUUGUAUGAGUUCUAUACACUAAAAAAAUGAACCGACUCAAAUACUGAUCGCCAUUCUGUUCUCUCAAAUUCUUUGAGCCUCCGUCCGCAGUCCGCAGUCCUACGUCCGCAGUCCGCAGGAUUUAUCCGUAGGACUAUCCAUUAGAAGUAGUCCGGAGUCCGGAGUCCGCAGGGCCAAAGAAAGGUCCAGGUGAUUUAUCCGUAGGACCAUCCAUAUGGAAGGAAGUAGUCCGGAGGAUUUAUCCGUAGGACCAUCCGUAAUUAACCGAAGUAGGACCAUCCAUAUGGAGGGAAGUAGUCCGGAGUCCGGAGGAUUCUUAUCCGUAGGACUAUCCAUUAGAAGUAGUCCGGAGGAUUUAUCCGUAGGACCAUCCGUAAUUAACCGAAGUAGGACUUUCCGUAAUUAACGAAGGGCUUGCUUUGCGCCUCCUACUACGUCUUAUUCCAUGCCGCUACGAAGGUUAUAUAAGUUCAGAAGACAAGACAACUCCAAAGGAAGGUCAGAAAUGAACGAGUCAAAAGGCUAUAUAAGUUCAGAAGAAAAGCCAACCGCUACGUGGGAAACUCCUUUGGUAAGAAAUGAACGAGUCAAAAGGACUUCUUCAGAUCUGAUUUGAAAUCCUCUGAUCUUCUUUAUGGGAGCUCCGCGCGACCUGAUUGAGAUCUUCUGAUCCUUGAUUCAUUGACUUCCUACAUUCUUCUUUUUAAUAGUCUUUUCUUAUUCUCUUUAAUAAAUGAUUAUUCUCAAUCUUCUUUGAGCCUUGUUCAUUGACAAGAGCAAACCUUCUUGGUCUGCCUUGCCUACGGUCUGAAGUUGCUGUCGUAGCAGUUCUUCCUCUUUCAGCAGAAGUGGCUGAAGAAGAAAGGCGAGACCGUAAGGAAGGAUGCAUCGGCGCCCACUACGCGGGAAACUCUGGCCUAAAUCACUCUUUUUCUAUGGAGGCAAAGACCAGGCUGAGGGCUCUCUUUCACCUGCUCCAGAGGAAGGAGAAUGCGAGGCAGUAGUUGAGGAUGGACCACGGUCUUUACGGUAGAAGCCCUCUUCUUCUUUCAGAGUUCGCCACCGCUCCGCUCCUACUAGAUUAAUCGCCUAGUUUCGACCAGCAAAGAAUAUUGCGAUGAAUGUGGACAGAGUUUCUCGCCAACAGGAAGAGGUUCAAAGAAGAUUUCCGCUUACAAUAUCCCUGUCUUAUGGACCCUGCCUCUCAAAUAUGAUGAAUAGUCGGACGGGUAGCUCGCCCAAGAGAAGAGGAUGAAAUGAGAGACCCAAAGCGGAGGAAGAAAUGAAAGCGCUCGGGAGCUCAAGAGGCAGAACAAGAGUACGCUCGGGAGGAAGGAAUUAAUAAGACAGACGCAUACGACUCCCAGAAACCUGCUAUUGAGGAAGGGCAUCGACUGGGACAUUCUCCGUUGCCGCUUCAGAGUAGGAUCAUACGACCAAGUGGGAAAGGCGCUAAGCCGCUAGACUGGCCGGGCCUUCUUAGUGGGGGAAAGCGGAUUUACCGCUACGUGGGUGGAAAGAUAUUUCAUGAAUAAGACUUUCUAACUUCAAGCGUGUAUCGUCCGCAGUCGAUCUUGCCCUUUCUGAAGGAGUUGCGGUUGCAGCUGGCAGGGAAGUUCUUCUUGUAGCCGUAGUAGAAAAAAGCUCUUUCAGCUAUCUCUCUUGCCUCAUUCAAGGAAAAAGGCUUGAGAUAUGUCCCAAUUUACAGUGAUUUCACUCUCUCAACUCAAAGCUCCAAAGUCACCUAAUAAAUACUGAAGAAAAGGUUAGAAGCCAAGCGCAUUUAUCUCAGAGAAUAAGACAGGACUCCCUAGGACUUAGGUUCUGCUUUUAAAAGACUAUUACUUCCUUCCAUAUGGAUGGUCCUACGGAUAAAUCCUGCGGACUCCGGACUCCUUUCUCAAAUUCAAAGAGCCUUGCCGUAGGUUACCGUAGGUUCUUUUAAGUAGUUUAUUGUAAAGACUAUUAAAAAGAAGAUCAUCAGACUUCUACGCGGCACUCCAUAAGACUCCUCCUACGGGGAAGCUUUGCGCAUUUAGAAAAUAUAUACAGAAAGGCUGAAUUCAUUGAGAAAUCCAUAUUAACUCCUUCCUUUCAGACUCUUUCAGUUCCAUAAGACUGAUCUGGAGCUUUUGCAAAGAAGAGAAUAGAAUGGCGAUCACAAAGAAUAUUGCGGAAAAGAAGAAAGGAGUGCAAUCAAUGAAAAGUUCAUAGGUUAAGCUUGAUUCAAAAGGACGGCGCCAAAAACAAAGGUCUAUAUGAAAAAACGACCAGAGAGGUUCAAAGAAGAUUGAGAAUUUGAGUCCUUUAAGUUACUAGUAAUCUGCUCCGUGGGCGACUUAUUAAGAUGGCAUCAAAAUAGAUCAAUGAAUCAGUCUUUUCUUAUGUUCUCAUUCCACUUUCACUUUCUGGGAGUCUUCUACUGGUCUCCCCUCUUGUUGUCGAGCUAUUAUCCAUCCCUUCCCCUCGUAAACUAAGCUCUUCCACUCUUUCCCCUAUCCUUCGAUCGAAGAACUCAAGAUUGAAUUAUGAGAAAACGAACUGUAAGUUUCAUUCUGACAAUUGAGAAAUGACAUAAGUUCAGUUCGAACGAAGAAAGCCAGCCAGGCAUGAAUUCCCAACUAGCACAUUCACUCAUUCUAAUCCCAAUUCAUUCUAUAAAUUCAGGCAAUACGAAGGAGACAGUCCAGGUCUGAGUCACUCAUCAGCCCACUACGUGCUUUCGCAGUCUUAGAUUAGAUGCUUCCGUGUACAAUAAGUCCUUUCCUUUCUUUAAUGGGCUAAUGCGAGAAGAGGCUAAAGGCUUCUUUCUCAAUUUACGGACAUAGCAGCAAUCCCAGGAUUUCUCCUUCAAUUCAAAGUUAGGCUAAAAGCCUUGAUCUAGCUCAAGAGCUUUCCGAGCGAACAAGAAGAAGAGCCACAGCAUCCCUGCCAGUGGCAUCCCUUGCUGUGGCUUUCUUGUGAUUCCGCUUUCCGAUAAGAGGUCAUUCUGAUUCAAGCUUGAAAAGAGUCAGAAACCCAUACUUGCGCCGGGUGAGAGGAGCGUAGCCACUCGACCAGAGGAGAGGCAAUUACAUAUAGUGGACUCUUCCCUCUCAUUCCUCGUGAACUAGGGAAAGACUACUACAUUAAGAGAUAGUUCGCGCUCUGACUUCGUACUUCUUUCUUGUUUUCGUGUACUUAUUGACGACUGAGAAUACCCCUUCUUCCACGGAUCUAGCCUAUUCCUCCACUCCUUUCUGGUCGAGCGCUACUUGAGACUGGGACUGAUUCCUAUGACCUAUCCCUUGCUUCCGGCCUCUCUAUCUGGGAUCUCUGAUAUAACCUAUCCUGCUUUAUCGGGCUGACUCUCUGGCUCCCUCGGAAACUGCUUUAUGGUCAAGCAGCAUAACGAAAGAUUAUGCAGCAGGACUGGUAUCGCUGACUCUGAAUCUGGAACUCUUUUUCAAUGAAUGGAAAACUCCCUCCUUUUACUAGUCUUCCGCAACAUAGAUCUAACCCACUCCGCGGUCUCGCGCGGGUUCCGUUCCGAUCCAGAGCUACUAAGACUGCUCCGUGGGCUUUCCAGAAAAGAGCUACUCACUUCCUCUCCCUACGGUCGAGUCUCUUCGCCCCUCUCCGUCGCGUCGAGUUGCUUCGCACCUCUAGCCUUCCGACCUCCUUUUGGGAAGGCAUAGAAUACAUACUGGUGCGUAUACGGCUUCUUCUAGUCGAGCAAUCCACGUGCAACUCCGUCUUAAUUCCAGGUCCUUGCUUCCUAUCGGGAAAGGAUCUCUAAAGCGCGCUCUAGCUGUUCUGCGCUUUCCGAGUGAUCUAACUGAACUUAUGUAAUUAUUUAUUAGUAGGAAGUGAGACGCUUUCCGCUGGUAGAACUAGAUAAGGUCAGAGGUAAAGAGCAAGCUAUGGAAGUUCUGUAGGAAGGUAGGUCGACUAAGCCACUAAGGCAGAGUUUAGCAUCUACUGCAUCCGUAACGAAAUCUACUUACGUGUAAAUAAAUAAAGAAAUCAGGCCUGAGGCCAAAGAGAUCUUUUACGAUCGCAAAGAAAGCGUAGUAGGACUUGAACCGUAGACAUCUUUUCCCACGUUCUACCGAGAAGAGCCUUUCAAGGAGAUAGAAGUCAAAGGAUGAAAGACCUGCCCAGCGCACCCGCUCCGUGGGCUCCAGCCCGGACCAGUAGGCCUUCCUUUCCCUUCGCUUCUUCCUUCCUUUCCCUGAUCCUAGGCUUUCUAUUACAAGAUAGGCUUUCCCGAGUUCACGCUAAGCCAGGAGUCAGAUUCCGCCGAAAGAACUAGGUGGUCUCCUUCGUCUAAACUCAUUUCCGCAAUAGCUUUUGGAAGCACAUCUCUAUCCACUGCUCCUUGCUACCCUUGCUAGAGUCUCGCGCCCUUGUUCAUUGAUUCUUAACGAAAGAUGAAAGACAAAGGGGGUACGGGGUGUCAAAUAAAGGUCUUUUCACUCAGAAAAACGAGUUGGGAAUCCCAGUAGAAAAAAGGCAUCUUUCCGCUGAUCGAAGAAGAGCGACGUCUGAAGCAUCGGCUUAUCGCACCAAGUAUUCUCGUAUGAAAGGUAGAGCCUUAUCAACUUCAGGAAGAAGAUCCCACGUAGCGGUCUAGGCCGACCUCUUGUUCAUUGAGGCGGUAAAUCCGGCUUGGUCCUUCGCACCUUUCAGAGAAGAGUUCUUCCUCUUUCAGUUCCCCUGAAAAGCUAGUUCAAAUUUCUCUCUUCCUUCCCAGCCUGAGGCACUAGGUCGAUUUCUUCUUCGAGCUGAGCUGCUUCAGGUGCCUUUAGUGCAGCGGGUCUUUCUAUUAUAUAGGUUUAGUCCAGGAAUGCUUCGAUCCCCUUGCUCUUUUGGGCAAGAGACCUCUGAUCCCGUAGCUCGAAUGGAAGAAGUCAAGGGAUAGCUGUGAGGCUGCUUUGUUGACCAAUGGACUUCAGGGUUGAAUCAUGAAAUUCAGGGUUUGACUGUCUUCCAUUCCACUAAUAUUUCGAAGGACGCAUCAAUGAACAAAGGCCCACGGAGCGGGAGAAGCAGAAGCCCGCUCGCUCGAUUAACAGGAGUGAGAGUCGGUUACGUACCAUGCGCCUGAUUUUUCUUCUUUUCCCCACUCUUCAGUUUCCGUUGAGUUGCCCUCUGAAGUUGAUGUUGGGGUUUCAGCAGUUGGGGAAGUUGCUUUUCUCAAAGCUAUUAUGCAUAGAAUGUAUGCACGAGAAGGAUGAAAUAGCUCUACGGAAAAGAAUCAAUCUGUCAAUCUGUACCCACUGCGCGGUAGAAAGGAAAGGCACGAGGUUCAAAGAAGAUUUCCGCUUCUUCUCAACUCAUCUGGAGCUUUGAUUUUAGGCUCUGAAUUUGCAAAGAUGUCCUUAUCAAUGAGACCCGUAGGAGGCUCAAAGAAUGAUCGGAGUAGGUGCAAAGAAUAUUGCGAAGGCGCAAAGAGCUCAGAAUUUUCUCUUUUUAUCCAGCCCCAUAAAUCAAGUCCAAAAUAUUAGUUCCAUUACCUUCUCAAACCUUUGUUCAUUGAUUCAGUCUCGCACAAGACCCUUUUAUUUAUGGAUGUUCAUUGAGCCUUGUUCAUUGAUGUCUUUUCAACCCUACCAAAAAGUUCGCUAUCUAUUAGUUGCCGUAAUCGAAUGUAUUUCUCAUUUCGUCUUAGCUCCUCCAAGAGCUUCCUGGUCCGUAGUAGACGAAACCCUGGACUUCUAUCGGACUUAUAGCAUUGCCUGGUGAGCUCGCCGUUGAGGGUUGGCCUUACAGGAGAGCGAGAGCCUUUCUUUCCCUGCCUGGCUUUCCCGCUUAUCGCGCAACUAGCCAAAGAGAGAGGGAGAGGGGCGAAGAGACUCGACCGUAGGGAGAGGGUCAAAGAAUAUUGAGAAUUUGUAUGUGCAUUUUCUCCGUCCUGUACUUGCCUGCUUAGCUUUCUUAGCCAAGAUCUCCGGUUUCCCCCGAACCAAGAGGUCCUGCUUAUCCAGACCCAAGAGUCACACUCUUUUUCAGCCGAUGAUUUUUUCAUUCGGUUCAUAGAUCAAGAAAGAAUGAAGCUGCUUAAACCUCUGCGGUCAGUCCUUCGGACCAGGUGCCAUAAGACAGGGAUAUUGUUAGGCGCAAAGAAUAUUGCGACUUUGAAUACGAGCCUUUUCCCAGCUAUCAACCUAGCCAUUCGAGCUUCUUGCUUUAAGGGGUCUCCCCACUUUAUGUGGGUAUAUAUAUAGGCUUCGUCGAGAAUACCAAGUCGAUCGGCAAGGUUUCGCUCGUCCUGUGAGGGAGGAAGGGUGGAGGGAUACCUCUCGGCCCUUUUUCGUAUAUUGAAUCAUUAGCAACCCCCUCUUUAUCGAUCGUCAAAAAGAUAUGCUUGAUCAGCUUCCCUAGUGGUAUUGCCUUCUAACUGCCCAGCAUAUACCUUUACUAACUCCACAGCUGCUCCCUCAGUGCACUGCUAUGCAGAGCGGAGGUUCAAAGAAGAUUUCCGCUUGAUUUAGCGGGCAGAGAUUUUAGCUAAGAAUGUCUUGACUCCUUAGCCAUAGGAAUUGGAUGGGCAACUACUACUUAGAUGCAACUACUAGCAAAAAAACUGGGGAUUCAUUCUCGCAAUAUAUAUUCUUUGCGCUUUUUUAAGCGGCUGCAAUAUAGCUUUCAUUCAUCAAGCCUGUCCCUAAUGGAUAGGACUGAGGACCUGUCUUAUGGCACAAAAGUCAAUCAAAGAAAAAAGAAAAGAAAAGAAGAAUGAACUCAUUAACGAUAAUGAAAGAAGCUCAAAACAAAAUUCAUCUGCUAGAUUUCAGACAUCUUUGCUUAAUAUGGGCAGUUCCAUACUCUCUUUUUUACGGAGGGAAAUGCUAGGUUUUGGGCCUAUAAAGUAGCAAGAAAAGACAAAAAAUCAGUCAAAAAAGUACUUUUAUCGUUAAAUAGAAAUAUGAGAAAAAGUCCUAUUUAGAAGCAAAAAAGCCGGGAAAUAGCAAUUCAAGAAGAACUCCUAGGACAGGGAAAAGAAAUGAACAUAGUUUGAUUAUGGUUUCUGGUCCGGAUACUGACAGGUCUAUUCUUUGAUCCUUCUAAUGGAUAGUCCGGAGGUCUUAAUACUCCUAACUACGGGAUAAAGAGAGGUCUAUUGUAGGCGGUCGAUGAGCAAACAAAAAGAAAGCGGAAAAGACGCAUCUUGAGCAAUAUUCGAUAAUAAAGGCUGAGGACCGCUCCUACUACGUCUGAAAUCUGGGUUAAUAUGGAACCUUCGGACCAGUCAAUCAAUCAUCAAUAUCCCUGUCUCGCAAUAUUCUUUGCACCUGAUGGAUAGUCCUUCGGACCUGUCUUAUGGCAUCAUUUGAAUACCUGCGGCAAGGAAUAUGACUCCUCCGGAGAGGUUAUACUUGACUAUUAUCAAAAUGAUACAAGACUAUCUUAAAGAUUAUUUCCGAGAAAGAGCUUCGUUUUCAUAGGCUUUCUUCAGAAUUUGCUUAAGACAUGCAUUCAUCAAAAGAAAGCCUAUCUGAAGGGAGGACUGAAAGCCUAGACUGCAGAAAAGGAUAUGAAGAAGAAGAGCUUUCUUAUCUUAUUCUUUCUUAUUCUUUCUGAACCUAUGGAAUAAGACGUAGUAGGAUCAGUCCGAAGGACGGAGAAGGAGCUCUCCCUAGCAGAAUAGUCUUUCUUCCUUUUAUCUUUUUUAUCUUUUCUCUCUCAUAUUUCGCAAGAAUCCGUACCCUACAGAAAGAGGGAAACUGGGUUCGAGGAGGUUAAGGCAAAUACCCGCCCCGCGUCGAUCGUGGAGUUCAUUCCGCAUGCGCGGACUAAAUCGGGAAAUUGCGUGAUUCAUGGGGAGCUGAGUUUCAUGAAUCUCCUUGAUUUAGUACGAAAAGUUGGGGAGUCACAAAAAAAAGAAAGCACCGUAGCAGACCCGUCCAUUAGAAAAAGGGUAAUUCCGUGCCUCAGCCCGAAACCGCUACGUGGGGUUAGGUUUUUGGCUUGAAAACGAGUGCCUUUCACAUAUUUAAGUCAGAGAAAAAUAACCUUUUGAAAGAGCUAAUUAUCCCUCUCGCUUUAUUUAGCUCUCCUUUCUGAUCUCAACUUCGUAAACUACCUUUCCUUUCUUCCCAUCUUGCACUCCUCUUCGCUUCGGGCCUCUCCUUGUCGACUCUCUUCCUCUCCAACCUCGAGUUGUCCCGUGCUGGCGAGCGUGUGACUUAUCUUAUGCUUUGAAAUAGAUUUCCACUUAUGCAAGCCUAUCCUUUCCGGUAUCGCUGCCCCGUACUAAGCAAGACUAACUGACGGAUCAUACUAUGAAAAUUUCCAGGUUCAAGCCGAUCCUGAUCUCGAUAUUCAAACCUUUCCCGCCGCACACAAGAGAGUGAGAUUCUGAUUCCUAAACUCCAACUCCUUCCUUUCUCUCGUUCUACCGGGUAAAUUCAAUGGCAGAAGUAACUCAACUUCCAUCCGUUGGCGGGCUAGGAACCCGCACCCCCCUCAACUAAGAAAAUUUCCGCUCUUGAAUCGAAAAGGUAAUGAACUGCUCGCCUUCCCGUGAUGUUCCGAUUUCCGCUUUCAACUCCUCUUUUUUCCAGGGAGAAGAAGUACUUUCACUAUUAGUUGAGGCGGGGAGGCUUACCCGAGUUCACGACCGAUCUGAAAUCGUAGACCUCAUAUAGGAAGCAAGGGUACGGCUAGAACGAGAGCAAUAGGAAAGGAAUCAGUCGUCUAUCCCACUAUCGUCGCUAACAAAGCUUCUUGGUUUACACCCGAUCGCGGAGUUCCUCUCCCUUUGCUUUGGGAGAGUGAUUGAAUUCCUCUCGUACUCCUUAAACAGUCUGACUUAAGAGAACCUUUGGUCGAGCUAAAACAUUCCUCUUUACCGAAAGAGAUCCAUUCUUCGUGCGGACGAUUGAAGUGACUCAUAUUCUUCUCAUUGAGAAAAGAAAGGAUAUUAAUAAUAUAAGAAACCCUCGUAAACCAACUCAGCUGCCUCAGCUUCAAGAGACAGAUCUCAUUCCUUCCUCUGCUUCAACGGCUUUCUCCGCCAAAAGAGGGCUAGCUACUCUUGCGGAUACUUCUACUGAUAAAGUCAGGCAGGAGUUCAUGAUCUGACUCAUGAAAGAGAGAGAGAAUACCACCCUUUAAGCCCACUCUUAGGUGCUGCCUCCUGUAGUCCUCUCUUACUCCUUUUCUUUCUCUUCUUUCAUCUCGAAGUUAUGUUCUCAGAUCAUUCACGAGAAGAAGGGGAACCGGAACUCUCACUAUUCCAUAGGGCGCGAAGUAGCUAACCUAGCUCCCCAAUUAUUUAGAAAGAAAAAUAUGACUCCCGCGAAAGAUACGAUUUAGGCUAAUGCUUAAUAAAAAAAGGAUGAAUGAGAGAAUCCAAUGACAGAAGGAAAAAAGAAAGGCUCAAAGAAUGAUCGAGGGUUGAUCUUGACCUCUGAUUCAAUGGAAGAAGGAAACGGGGAAGCAGCUCUCAGCUUAUAUAUUAAAGGUCUCUUUCUCACGCAACUCUCAACAUUCCCCGUCCGAAGGACUAUCCAUCAGGUCCAUUAGAAAAAAGACUUUUCGGGUUCCAUAAUACGAACGCAAACAACGCAUAUUGAAUUGCGCCUAGCGCCAGAAAAGAAAGAAUCUCAUCUUGACCUCAAUAUCCUUUGAGCCUUCCACUAAAAGUCCUUCGCCUUGGAUCUGGCUCAUCACCCCAUUACAAGUCCAAAAAAUAGGCGUACGACUACCUUUUCCGACGAUAGGAAAGUUUGAGCUGAAAGAUGAAAGGUUAUAGUCAUAGGGAGAAAGCCUAGGGUAAGAAAGGCGGGCUUAGCAGGUUUCUCCAAACGUAUAAACAAAAAUCAGAAGCAAGCGGUCCUGAAGAGGAUACCGAUACGCAUACAUUAUCGCAUGGAAGAACCUAGCUGAACCGGAUCAAGGGUCCUAACCGAGUCCGACUGACCCUCUUUGGCUGGCCCCGCCCCUUGCAACGAGAAAAACCCGUACGUGCUUUUUCCUUUCGUUUAGCGAGAUAGCUUACCAGCUCGCUCAUAGCAGCAUUAUGAAAAGCUGAAUCCUCAUCCUGAGUCGAGUCCGCAUUGCCAUACGAAUCGACAUCGGCCAAAGCAAGAGCUCCUAUUUUUUCUUUAACGAAAACAUCGAAAGAUAAAAAAGAGAAGAUAAAGAUAAGUUGAUCCGCUCUUUCGCCCCUCCUACUUAUCAUCUUACGAUUCAAAGAAGGAAUACACCUAGGAAUGCCAGAGUGCUUAAGUGAGGCCGGAAAAGGUAAAGGGGGGUUCAUUGUCCUUUCACUAAGAAUACCUCUUCAGGACUAGACCGCAAGACUGAAUAUACAAAGCGGUGCCGAGGUUCAGUCGCACCAUCUCUGGUUCUUGGUAAUGCCAUCUGUCCUUUUGCCCCUCAUACGCCGGCUCCAAGAAUUUCUUUGAUAAAGACUAUAUGCUGGUAAUGCUGGGGCACGCCUUAAAGUAAAGUCCUCCUCCCCAGGUCCACCGUCGUCACCUAUCGAUGACCUGCCUUCAGUCUUCUUCCAGCGCUUCAUAGUCUUUAUAUAGUCUUUCUCGUACACCUGUAGAGCAGCUCAUCAAAUUUUCCCAAGUCGUCUUGCAACCAGACGACUCCAUCUCUCUCUUGUAUUGUGUCCUGAAUCCUCAGAAUCGGUGUCUGAUGGUCUGAAUCUCCACUGGAAUCUGAACUUGGCGUCUUGCCUUCCUCCUUCGAUCCGUCUUGCAAGUGCAGGGUAACCCUGGGCCGGAUCCACUUUAUCGACUGUGUCCUUGCCGCCUAAUCCUUCCCAACUCUGGCCGCCUGUAGCUAUUCCGAGUAGGGUCUCGUAAGCAUCUUCGUGCUGAGCCGUCAAAGCAAAAAAGUGGAUGCUAAACUAAAGGUGCAUCAAUGGAUACCUUCCGCCUCAAAGACUUCUCCAGCGGCUUUACUGGUCGCGGGUCUGCCAUUCUCAGUGUGACGAACGAAAGCAGCAUAACGAAUAAGAUAUGAGAAUAGAGUGAUUUAUAGAUAUUCAAAGAGAAUAGAAUUGGAAUCCGUGCGGAGAUAGGCUCAAAGAAUUUGAGUCUCUCUACAAUAGGCUGGAAAAAAGGAUAAAACCUACUUUCCACUCUCUGAUAGAGCGGUAUGUACCGCAGGUGGCCUCAAUCCCUAUGGAAGAAGGUUUGGAGUGAACCCCAAGAUGGAAGUCCCAACGGCCCCCUGGUAUGCUAGGCUAAUGGCAAAGGAUGAAGAUGUUCAACUUCAACCACAUGCCAAAAAGAGCAAGCAUCUUUCUAGCCUUUCUUAGUGAGUUGGCGGCCUUUGAUUGAAUUUCUUAUAACCUUUAUCCAUACUCACGGACAAGAGUGCGAGCACAAACCCCUACACAGGCCGAAGUUUACUAGGUUUGCCUGAGAUCCCGUAGAAGGACGUAGUAAAAGAAAGCCUAUCCGUAGAAGGAGUCUUCUUUCCUUGCCGUAGGUUUAGAAGGACGUAGAAGUCCCGCUUCAAAAAGAAAGAAUCUCAUCUUGACCCCCGUAGAAAUCAUUGAAGCGAAGGUGAAAAGAAUAUUGACAAGACUUCCGGGAUCAAUGAAAUUUGAUGAGUGCAACUGAUUAAUGGAAAAAAAUAGGCGUCCUUCGGACCACAGGUUAAUAUGUCCUUAUCAAUGAGACGAGUGGAUUCCGUUCUUCUAAUAAUACCGACCAGGGCUACUUCUUAAAGAAGAACAAGACCUCCUUCAAUGGCAGCAACUGCUCAAGGUACGGGAUUAUGAUUGGCUUAGUCGGAGCGGAGCGCCUUUAGUCUUUUUCUUUGUUAAUGGAGUGAUAAUGGAGGAUGAAAGCCGCCUCAAUGAACAAGGGGUGACUGAUCGCUAAACUUCUACCAAUUGCAGAUACCACCGUGGGGUUGAUCCGCCUCGUCGUAAACUCUGCUGCCUGGGCCCCGUAGUAGGAGUCCCAUAAAUCAGAGGUUAGGAGACUGAUGGAAUUCGACUCAAUUAGAUCUCGCCUUCGCUUCCCGCUCCGUGGGCGCCUUUCCGUAGGUUCUUCUCUUUUAUUAAGGGUUCAUUGACUGGUUCAUGAAAGACCGCUUUUCAUCCAAUGGAAUACCGCUCGGGCGCGUGUCCCAGGGCAUUCUUCGGCCGCAACUCUGAUUCAUGAAAUUCGCCCUCCUGGGUAAGAGAAGAGAAAGCCCUUGGAAAGUCAGGUUAAUAUGGAUAAGUCCUUCGGACGGGUAGAUUUUCUCAUUUCAUAUGAGUUUUGGACAAGGUACCAACUCUUUCUGGUCUCGCGCUCCCUAGGACAUUUAGUGCGAUCCUACUGAAUGAGAACCCCACCGCCGUCUGGGUUCCCGUCUCACUUUCUCUUUAUCAAGACUAUCACAAAGAUUAAGAAGCGGGAGAGGGUAUCAGCUUUACCGACUUAGAAAUAGGAACCUUGACCCUUGACGAUCCCAGACUGAUGACUGCUAACUUCUCCAAGGACAGCGGCACCCUUAACUCAGUCUCGAGCUGCAUAACCUCCCCCUUUUCAGGCGGCGGGAAACCCCAUAUGGCGACUGGAAGUUUUCAGCCUUUAUUCUCAUCCCCUUUCUCAGUCAUUGUAGCGGGAUGGGAGUCAUUCAAUCUACCCGAAGAAUGAGAUCAAAAAGGAAAACCCUAGCUUCGAACUCCCGACCAGGACGCGGGUCUAUCCUUCUUCUCAACCAAGUGGCAAUUCCCCACCCGCUACGUGGGCUAAGAGGUUUCCUUCUUCCUCUCCAGCACUCCGCUACGUGGGGCAGUCGCUUCCCGCUCGGCGCCUCCUCUAUCCUCUUCUUCCUUGCCCUAGGUUAUUUUGAGUCCUCCUUUUCUUCUUUGCACUCAGUCCCUUCCCGCUCCGUGGGGCCUUGCCGCUCCUACUACCGCUCGGCUUCCUUGCCCUAGGUUUAGAAGGAGGAUUUGGUGGCCGGAGGCUGAUUAUCUGAGGAUUUGAGUUGAGGACCAGAAAAGAAAUCGCAUCAUCUACUCGCGUAAAUCACUCAAAUCAUACUGCUUCAAAGUGUGAAGGGAAGAAAUCGCAUAUGCUUAAGACACGCGGAUUGGUCUAUGACCGGCCCCUGAACCCGUUGGCGAAAGCAAGCUUCAUUCUUCCAAAGGCGGACAAAGGCAGACGGGGUAGAAAAGCUUUCAAGGACUCAAGAACAUAGGCGAAUCUGUCUCGGAAUUUGCGGAGGCAGCCUCACCGCCCCGUGGGUAGGCUCUGGGGCCGGACGAGCGGGAGUGGCUGUCCUUGCUCUAGCUCUUCUUGCAUAUUAUUAUUCAUCUCGUGAAUGAAAAAGAUUCCCAUUGAAUUUGGAAAUGCUGAACUCCUCUAUAAUUAUUGAUUAUGAUAUUCCAAUCCGAGACCUCGAGAGGAUCCCAAGGAAUCCCCAGUGGAAAGGAAGGAGGGGACCGUCUUUCAUGAAUCGGUCGAAGACGGGAGACUGAAAUGAAAGGGGAGAAGAAAGGAAGUAGGGUUAUCAAGGUAAAGAGUAUCUUCAUCCACGAGAGGGUUCCGCUUCAGCGCGAAUAGUUUCAGUCGGGUGCAGAGGUGCGAAGGAGAGAAAGAGAUCAAUGAACAAGUCAAUGAAAAAUGAAGCUCCAGAUGAGUUGAAUGAGAGAGAUCUAUUCAAGAUAAGAAAAAGAUAAAGCAAAUCAAAAAAUCUCAACUUAUUCUAUUCGUAAGAAGAAGUAGAAAGUAUUUAUAUCUUAUCUUGACUUUCGCACAUUCGCAGUUCAUAUCGAGCUAAUAUGAUAAGAUAGAGAUCUUCAGUAUCCCACACUUUUCUCAAGACUAUUCACGACUGAUUUUUGAUAUUAAAGAGAAGAAGAGCUUGAUCAACCCCUUUCCAUAUCAAAAUAUAUAUUAGCGCAUUCGCGAAGUAACUAUCUUCUUAUUAAGAAUGAAGAGCAGUUCUUAAUAUCGGAUUAUGUGCGGGAUCAGAGGUCUUCUUGAGGUAGCAUUUCUCGUAGCCAUGGAGGACGAGGUAUUCACAAAGAUUCCGUGAGUCCGUCCGCUCGAUCCACGUCGGGAAUGAGGUCAUCUCGCCGUCGGCCUCUAGAAAGGUUAUGGAAGAUAUAUUAUUCAGUAAUUGCAUUUCAAUCCUUCCGGAGACAGUCUCACUCGAGACCUCGGGCUAAGGGACCUCAGUGGCAGUGGCAGCCGGAGCUCGCUGUGGAAGAAAGAGAUGAGGCAUUCUCCGGGAAGAGUCAGCGGUUCUUCAUUGAGGCGGUGAGAAGGCUUGACCCACCGAGAAGGGAAGGAGUGGCUUAGGAAAAGGAGUUUCAUGGGUGCAAGGGCAUUCCAUGGCCCAGGGCCAUAAGCAUGAAAAAUGGGAUUUUCUAAAGGGUUAGCUCCGUCUAACCUUCCCCAUUUCCCCCGGUUGAUAGAUAAGACCAAGAGAGGUUUGAUUGAGGUAUUCCUUCAAUCAAAUAAAGGUUAUAUUGGCCUGAUCGAGAGCACUCCGAAGAUAAUUCCUAUCCUAUUUAUGUGCCUUCUCCUUCUUUUUUUCUGAGUAGCCACCGCGUAGUGGGAUGAUUCAAUACCCACAUAAGAUAGGAUAGAAGGUAGAAUCAUUUAAGAGGCAAAGGCUUUUCGAUCAGAUUAGAUGUGACCAGAGAGAACGUCCAAAUAAUGAAUAAUCAGCGCUUGGUCAAGAGAUCUAUCUCAUUCCCCUACCUUCAACUAAGCUAUUUCCACAGCUAGAAAGCCAGAACUAAAGCAAGAACUCCCACUGAAGAAAGAGAAUGAACCUCUCCUAGCUGAGAUGAUUCAACUUAUGCAGCUACAAUGCAAGGGCUACUUCCGCAACAGAACCUACUUCCGAUCCAUCCGACUGACGAGAGUGAAACCGGGUUUUCGUGCUCACUAAGCCAAAAGGUGGAUGCCCACUGCGCUCAAAUACUUUUCAUCCAAAAAAAAAAUAGAAGAUGUCAAAAUCUUGAAAGUCAGGUGGAUGGCUAUUCAGCCUAUCCGGGAAAGAGCUUAACAAGGAAGGAUGGAAGUUGGCACCUAAAAUGAGUCUUUUCUAGCGGUCCGGAGGCUCCAUAAGACAGGUCCGAAGGCUAGUUAAUAUGGAUAGGACUGAGGAUGGUCCGAAGGCUCAAAGAAUGAUCGGAGUGCAAGUCAUUCAUUCUAUUAAAUAGGCAGAGGAGAGGGGUCAGCCUAGGGAAAGGUAUGGAAAGAAAAGAGCUUUCCUAAUAAGGAGAGAGAGUAGGUCAUAAACCAAAGCCCACUACUAGAACCUACUAUUUAGUCGAAAGUCUAUCCCGUCCUUUGCCUUUGCUUUGUGCAGAUUCAUUGAGGACUUUCAUCUUCUAUAUUAUGAGGCUUACUAAUAAUGCUGAAGUUCCUUCGGAGUCGGGUGUGCGCGUCUUUCCUUAUUCAUGGAUCACAGUAGAGGCAGAGGCAGAAGUAGUUGUCCCCGUUGAGUCUGCUGAGCAAGUCAACCCUUGUUCAUUGAGGCCGUUCUUUAAGCAGGAAGAGUUGCAGAGUAGUUUCUUGCUGCAGAAUUUGAAAGAAGAAAAGAAAGCUUUUUCUUGUAUAUGAUGAACGAGUAAAUAGCUCUAAGGAUUCACAUGAGGGGGGGAAUCCCCCACGGAGCGGUACAAUCAGAGAGAGGAAGGAGGGACAAAGUCCCCAGGCAUCAUAUAAGAGGCAUCGGCAGCUCGAAGGAGAAGGGAAAGGAGGACGGGCCUCAUUUCUCACUAUUUCGUAUCCGACGAUGAAUUAAUAUUUCUUCUUGAUUUCAUAGAAUAAAAGACUUAGCAUCAGACUUAGUUAGGUCGGAGCUCUAGUUGAGUUUCAUAAAAAGCAUAGGCUCCAUAAGACAGGGAUAUUGUAAGCGCAUUUAUCCGCAAGGUAAGCGAGUCCUUCGGUAAGAGGCUCCAUAAGACAGGUCCGAAGGACUAUCCAUCAGGGAGGUGAAAAGAAUAUUGACAAAUGGACUCCUCAAUUUCAUCGAGCCUUCUACCGCCCCGUGGGAAUCUUCUAAACCGUAAAAGCCUAUCCAGGAAGUUCAUAGUUCAUACGGUCAAGGAGCAAGAUCGCGAUAAAGGCCACCGCGUAGUGGGACGGAGAUUCGAUGGAUGGGGGCCAAGGCGCCUCCUCUUCUUGUCGACUUUGCUUCAUUUUUUUCAUGCUUACUUCGAAAGAGAUGGGGAAUGAAUGAUCAAGAAUGAGAUUGAUGAAAAUGAUUUCUACUGCUUUCCUACUUCAGGAACCGCCGAAAGAACUCAAUCUGGGACAGUCCCACUCGGCCCGACCUGCCGACCCUACCUACUCGAAGCAGGUAGCUGGAGACCCAAGAUGAGUUAUAGGAUGAGUUCUUGCUUGAGCUUUGAGUUACCUUGCGGACUCCCCUUAGAAGAAGAGCUGCUAAUACGAGAGAUGUCGGAAAAGGAUAAACUUCUACUCUUAUUCACAACGAGAAAGAAGAAAGAAGAGCUGCUUCGCUUACCUCCGAUCCUGGGUCUAGCCCGCGAAAGGGAGAAUUCCUAUGAAAGAGCAGACUUUUUCUUCUUCUGCGACAGCUGGGGGACGCCUAUUUUUUGACCUUGAUUCCCUAGCGGACUCAGCUGGGACUUCUGGUCGAGCGAGUUAGGACAAGGAAAUCUUUCUUAUUCAAUGGGCUCAAAAUCAAGAGUGAAAGUGGAAUAAAUCAGUCCCGCAACAAAAACAAAGAGAAGUCCGACGCAUCAAAAUCUCAAUCGCAUAUUUCAUUCCGCCUCUUCGCUUCGCUCGAUGAAAUUGAGGAGACGGAGGAGAGGGCGAAAACCAUUUCUCACAUUCUGCCUCACCUUCUUUUCUUCUAGAAAAAGACGCUAGCUACCGGAGGGCGGAUUCCAUGUGAGACCCAAGGGUCAAAGAAUUUGAGAAGAGAAGGGAACCGCGGAGUGGGUCACGGGGAAGAGGAGUUAGGCUGGAAGAGGGAGGCAAGCCGCGCUGCGAGAGCCGCUUUAUUGGCUCUUUCCGUCUCCCUUUCCGUUCUUGCUCCAGAGGCAGGAAUGCUCGGAAGUUGUUGAGGCUCCAAGUAUAGGAUGCACCAUCCGGUGUGAUUUCAGAGGCGGUAGGAGAAUAUGCUGAUCGGGCUAGGCCCAGUUCGCUUUCUUUAAUUAGACUAUCAAGUCAACCUCUGAAAGUACAAAAGCAGAAUCACAUAGAAUUCAGAAGGCGCACUCGCGCGAUGGAGAGAAGAAAAGAAGGUCAGGCUGAAUUAAUUGAGAGUUGCGUGAGGCGCAAUGUUCUAAUGGAUAGUCCGGAGGACUGGAUCUUGUUUUUGAGAUCAUUCUUUUUCAAUAUUCUUUUCACCUUUUUCUUUUUGAGCCGUGCAGGUAGGAAGGAAUAGAGUCAAGGGCUGACCAGCCAAUCCUUAUCUCUUUAGCAUAAGACAAGCUAAGCCGCUUCCAUCCCUUGCUUCCUACCUCUCUUCCAUAGAAAAUGAUAUCCAAUCCCAAUCAAGCACUGGUUACCGAAUUAAUUCCGCCUAAGAAAAGAUCAAUGAACAUCCAUAAAUAAAUAGGAGAGGAGUAAAGAAGAGACCGUGGAGAUCAGAUUAGGCACAUCAUCAUUUCAUGAUAUCUUAAUGAUCUCUUUCAUUCUCUGAAGUAGACAGUCAAUUCUCUAUUUCAAGUAUAAGGGAGGGGAGCUGGGCAAUCCUUGUCAAUAUCAUCACACAUUCUAACUCGCCGCUCUUCCUGAAUAGGAAUAACUACUAAAAGAAAGCCUAUCCUUCUAAAUUCUCAAAUAUGAUGACUCAAUUGCAAUAUUCUUUGCCCCAUCAAAGAAAGGUCCAGGGUCCGGAGUCCGCAGGAUUUAUCCGUAGGACUAUCCAUUAGAUUAGAAGGAGGCGCAAUUCAAUAUGCGACUUUGAACCUUGGUAUUUUUUAGGUGAAGAAGGCCUAUUUUGGCUUAGUCAAAGUUGCUUGGGCUAAGAAUAGGUUUCAUUCUCAAUGAAUUAACUCACAUCACAAAGCAUGAAAGAAAAGACAAACUCAAAUCAUAAUAGAAGAACUCUGAAUAUCGGUAGUUGUGUGGCGAAGAAUGAAGAUCGGAUUCUUUUCUUUUCCUGACUUUCGAAGGCCAGCGCCCAAGAAGCCUUUACUAAGGCUGGUAAAGGUCUGGCAGAGUAGAAAGCGAUGGAUAAGAAGCUGAAAGUCAGACUUUCCAUUUUCUAUCUACACAGUACUAUAACGUAGAAUCAAUACUGAAUUCAGAAGCAAGAUACUGAAAGUGCGAAUUCGAUCUUGAAGUAAAUAAAUAGAGAUUACUUACGAUCUACCCGAUCUGAUCGAAGAAGUGCAACUUCAGCUCCAACAAGAGAAAGGACAGCGAGCUGGAAUUUCUUCCUGAACCCACUAGGACACCCACUACCCCUUGUUCAUUGAGGCGGUCAAUCUGGCCCGGCCGAAUCUGAUCUUUUUUCUUGGGCUGCUCGGGUCCUAUCAAGUUUUUGAUGACGUUCAAACUAGCUUCCAGCAAUAGCUUUGACAUUGUUGAAAGCGCUGAAAAUGAGAGGACUCAAAUUCUUUGACCCUCAGAAGAAAUUGAAGGAAUGAAAGCAUUAACAAAGGCGGACGACCACGCUUAGAGGGUUUGUAUGAUUUUCAUCAAUAUUCCAAUACCGCGUAGUGGGGAUUGAAAAGAUUAUGAGAAAUAUCCGGGGCUGAUCAGCCUUUAUUAGGGGAAUGCACUUUCAGAAGUGCUUUCUUCUGUCUUGAUUAAUGAAAAGAAAGGCGUAGCCGAUCUCCUUUAAAGAGGAGAAUGAGAAAGAUCGAUUGGUAAGAAAGAGAGUAUUAACGCCUUCCUUUAUAUGUCCAUGUCCAGGAAGAAAAGAGAAAUGUUCACACACACAUGGCUUCAAACCCCCCGUAUUAAACAAGCCCAUUUGGCUACGAUCUCGCUCGCAAGAUGAACCGAAAAUCUGAGCAAUAUUCUUUGCACCGUCCGGAGGACUGGCACAAAAGUCAAGAAAAGAAGCUCAUUAACGAGAAUGAAAGAAUCAUUAUGAUUUCAUAACUCGAAUUCAAGAAGAAUUAUGAAUCUGCUAGAUUUCAGAUGAAUCCGCGGAGGGAAAUGCUAG